This 489-nucleotide ribosomal RNA is filed under the name Fusarium oxysporum. RNAcentral describes it as "eukaryotic LSU rRNA". The stretch from base 137 to 290 matches the Rfam family "5.8S ribosomal RNA". The record is from RNAcentral. Lineage: Eukaryota; Fungi; Ascomycota; Sordariomycetes; Hypocreales; Nectriaceae.
CUCCCAAACCCCUGUGAACAUACCACUUGUUGCCUCGGCGGAUCAGCCCGCUCCCGGUAAAACGGGACGGCCCGCCGGAGGACCCCUAAACUCUGUUUCUAUAUGUAACUUCUGAGUAAAACCAUAAAUAAAUCAAAACUUUCAACAACGGAUCUCUUGGUUCUGGCAUCGAUGAAGAACGCAGCAAAAUGCGAUAAGUAAUGUGAAUUGCAGAAUUCAGUGAAUCAUCGAAUCUUUGAACGCACAUUGCGCCCGCCAGUAUUCUGGCGGGCAUGCCUGUUCGAGCGUCAUUUCAACCCUCAAGCACAGCUUGGUGUUGGGACUCGCGUUAAUUCGCGUUCCUCAAAUUGAUUGGCGGUCACGUCGAGCUUCCAUAGCGUAGUAGUAAAACCCUCGUUACUGGUAAUCGUCGCGGCCACGCCGUUAAACCCCAACUUCUGAAUGUUGACCUCGGAUCAGGUAGGAAUACCCGCUGAACUUAAGCAUAUC